Molecule: ribosomal RNA, 609 nt
Filed under: Escherichia coli
Lineage: Bacteria; Pseudomonadati; Pseudomonadota; Gammaproteobacteria; Enterobacterales; Enterobacteriaceae
Description: partial 23S ribosomal RNA
Rfam family: Bacterial large subunit ribosomal RNA
Source: RNAcentral
GGGACACGUGGUAUCCUGUCUGAAUAUGGGGGGACCAUCCUCCAAGGCUAAAUACUCCUGACUGACCGAUAGUGAACCAGUACCGUGAGGGAAAGGCGAAAAGAACCCCGGCGAGGGGAGUGAAAAAGAACCUGAAACCGUGUACGUACAAGCAGUGGGAGCCUCUUAAUGGGGUGACUGCGUACCUUUUGUAUAAUGGGUCAGCGACUUAUAUUCUGUAGCAAGGUUAACCGAAUAGGGGAGCCGAAGGGAAACCGAGUCUUAACUGGGCGUUAAGUUGCAGGGUAUAGACCCGAAACCCGGUGAUCUAGCCAUGGGCAGGUUGAAGGUUGGGUAACACUAACUGGAGGACCGAACCGACUAAUGUUGAAAAAUUAGCGGAUGACUUGUGGCUGGGGGUGAAAGGCCAAUCAAACCGGGAGAUAGCUGGUUCUCCCCGAAAGCUAUUUAGGUAGCGCCUCGUGAAUUCAUCUCCGGGGGUAGAGCACUGUUUCGGCAAGGGGGUCAUCCCGACUUACCAACCCGAUGCAAACUGCGAAUACCGGAGAAUGUUAUCACGGGAGACACACGGCGGGUGCUAACGUCCGUCGUGAAGAGGGAAACAACCCA